GCUUCUUAAAUAUUCAUCGCGAUCUAGCGUGUGCGUAUACAGCGGCACAAAGCCAAAGGGAUAAAUCAUUGACUCUAGGUUAGAUAGACAAAUGGAAAUUAAAGAACCAGACUAUAUUCUUAAUGCAAUAAAGAAAAGGGAAAUACUAAAAAAAACGAAAAGCAACUAAAGAACAAGUACAAAUAACUAAAAGAAAUAAGAAGUAAAGAAUCACAAAUAACAUACCGAAAAAUAUAAUAUAUAAAAAUGAUAUUGAUAGUAAAUAAAUACUUGAUUUUAAA
Molecule: unclassified non-coding RNA, 281 nt
Filed under: Melitaea cinxia (Glanville fritillary)
Lineage: Eukaryota; Metazoa; Arthropoda; Insecta; Lepidoptera; Nymphalidae
Description: misc RNA ENSMCXG00005012992.1
Source: RNAcentral